RNAcentral lists this ribosomal RNA (475 nucleotides) under Rhombophryne proportionalis. Its description in RNAcentral is "partial large subunit ribosomal RNA". It matches the Rfam family "Bacterial large subunit ribosomal RNA", at positions 1929 to 2571 of the family's 2925-position model. The record is from RNAcentral. Lineage: Eukaryota; Metazoa; Chordata; Amphibia; Anura; Microhylidae.
GGCCGCGGUACCCUAACCGUGCGAAGGUAGCAUAAUCACUUGUUCUUUAAAUCAGGACUAGUAUGAAUGGCCCCACGAGGGUCAUGCUGUCUCCCCCCCUUAAUCAGUGAAACUGAUCUCCUCGUGAAAAAGCGAGGAUAACCCAAUAAGACGAGAAGACCCCAUGGAACUUUAAACUUGUACCACUGCUUCCCCCUACACCACAUUAACUGAAGCAUCAUGACUACCAGUCUUUCGGCUGGGGCGACCACGGAGAAAAACAAAACCUCCAUGAUGAAAAGGAAAUAUCCUUAAUCCCAGAGCCACUGCUCCAAGAAUCAACAAAUUGACACAAAUUGACCCAAACACCUUGAUCAACGAACCAAGCUACCCUGGGGAUAACAGCGCAAUCCAUUUCAAGAGCCCCCAUCGACAAAUGGGCUUACGACCUCGAUGUUGGAUCAGGGUAUCCUGGUGGUGCAGCCGCUACCAAGGG